Molecule: ribosomal RNA, 602 nt
Filed under: Exserohilum rostratum
Lineage: Eukaryota; Fungi; Ascomycota; Dothideomycetes; Pleosporales; Pleosporaceae
Description: eukaryotic LSU rRNA
Rfam family: 5.8S ribosomal RNA (bases 209-362)
Source: RNAcentral
UCCGUAGGUGAACCUGCGGAGGGAUCAUUACACAACAAAAAUAUGAGGGUGUGGUUUGCUGGCAACAGCGUCCGCCCCAAGUAUUUUUCACCCAUGUCUUUUGCGCACUUUUUGUUUCCUGGGCGAGUUCGCUCGCCACCAGGACCCAACCAUAAACCUUUUUUUAUGCAGUUGCAAUCAGCGUCAGUAUAAUAAUUCAAUUUAUUAAAACUUUCAACAACGGAUCUCUUGGUUCUGGCAUCGAUGAAGAACGCAGCGAAAUGCGAUACGUAGUGUGAAUUGCAGAAUUCAGUGAAUCAUCGAAUCUUUGAACGCACAUUGCGCCCUUUGGUAUUCCAAAGGGCAUGCCUGUUCGAGCGUCAUUUGUACCCUCAAGCUUUGCUUGGUGUUGGGCGUCUUUUUGUCUCUCCCCUUGUUGGGGGAGACUCGCCUUAAAACGAUUGGCAGCCGACCUACUGGUUUUCGGAGCGCAGCACAAAUUUGCGCCUUCCAAUCCACGGGGCGGCAUCCAGCAAGCCUUUGUUUUCUAUAACAAAUCCACAUUUUGACCUCGGAUCAGGUAGGGAUACCCGCUGAACUUAAGCAUAUCAAUAAGCGGAGGA